ACGGAGCCUAACAGUUAACUCCCUACCCAGUGAGUUCUAGAGAGAGAAUCUGACCCGAAAAGAGAGAGAGAGAGAGAGAGAGAGAGAGAAGAGUGAGAAGCAAGUGCAGUGUGUCCGGCGAUCUGUCCCCUCUCCAUUCAUCUUUCAUCCAAUAACAGGUAGUUGUGAGAAAUGGAUUACCAUUAUGUGUACAAAGAUGUGGAAGGAGCGUCGACGCAGUGGGAUGACAUCCAGAGAAAACUGGGAAACCUCCCUCCCAAACCUCCUCCGUUCAAGCCUCCUCCUUUUACCCCAUCCGAAGGCCAAGACUCCAAACCCAAAGACAAAUCGUGGAUCGAUGACAAGACCGAGGAUCAGCUCGAAGAUCUCGAAGACGACACCAAUCUCGACGAUGAUCGCUUCCUCGAAGAGUACCGGAAGAAGAGGUUGGCAGAGAUGAGAGAAGUAGCUAAGGUUCGGAGGUAUGGAUCAGUGAUUCCCAUUUCUGGAUCCGAUUUUGUACGCGAGGUUUCUCAAGCUCCAGAAGAUGUUUGGGUCGUGGUGAUUUUGUACAAAGAUGGAUACCCAGAAUGUGGGCUUCUUCUGCAAUGUUUGGAAGACCUGGCAACAAAAUAUCCAGGAACAAAAUUUGUGAAGAUCAUAUCUACUGACUGCAUACCUAACUAUCCCGAUCGAAAUCUUCCCACUCUUUUGGUCUACAAUAAUGGUGCUGUCAAGGGGAAUUAUGCAGGAUUGCAUAGUUUUGGUCGCAGGUGUACUCCAGAAGGUGUUGCCUUGGUUCUCUGCCAAUCCAAUCCUGUUCUCGUCGAGAGGCAAAGUGGAGGCGAGCAAUCAAGAAAAGCAGUCCUUGAUGGCGUUCGGCAGAGGCUUAUAGAGAAAGUUGUUAGAGACCAUGAAGAUGAUGAUGCUGGAUCUUCAAGUGAUUAGGGUCUGCAAGUCCAUUAAGACCUACAAAAUGAACAAUUCAAAAUGUCGUACAAGAUGCUGUGACCUUUCUGUCUUGGGCUGCAGAACCCGAAAUGGAAGAAAGGAAACUGAUGGGAUUCAAGUGGAUUUUCGUACUGUCACUGGCAUUGCUUCAAGCUGGUUAUUACAGGCUCAUGAAGUGGUCUGUUCUCAAGUCUCGUAAGCUGGUGCUUGAUGUCGUCAACUAAAUCACCUUUAGUUCCUCUUAAUACAGUGUUGUGGUAGGACUAGAAUUGGCAAUAAUUAUUUGUCAAUCGAACUAUUGUUUCUUUGUCGCGAUUAGUUGUUUCGACGCGUUUGUGGUGCUGGUGCUGUGGGUGACCUGAGAGUGAAAUAUACAAUCUGGAGGAGAAAUAGAGAGACUUGUACAAACUAUUUGUAUUUCUGUAUGUACAUGAAUGCGAAAUUUUCUGGAUGGUUUCCAGUCUUUUGGA
RNA transcript from Rhododendron vialii, 1400 nucleotides. RefSeq lists it as uncharacterized. The record is from RefSeq and is a predicted model, not a curated record. The transcript is spliced from 7 exons. Lineage: Eukaryota; Viridiplantae; Streptophyta; Magnoliopsida; Ericales; Ericaceae.